CAGCAAACAAGGCUUUGAGGCCCUGAAAAGGGAAAGGGGGGAAUGCCACAUUUACCGGAAAAAAGGUGGGGUUGAUCUCAAUGACUUGUGGAGUAAAGUCAGGAUGGACAGCGAAGCUGAGUAUUCUCUCUGCACAAACAACUGCAUCCACUUCGCUCUCUCGCUCCUGGGCCUGGAGAAGUUCUACUCAGAACUGGUGCAAAUCCAAGAUGAAGAUGACAGCUGCUCCACUGGGGCGGACACUUGUAGCCCACCCCCUCCAGAGGAGCAGCGGAGCAGCCACACGGCGUGAGGGGUGGCAGCCCCGUGUCCCCCAAGGACGAACCCCUGACCCACAGAGGAGCCUCAGCAUCGCCCCGCGCACCCCAACAACUUCCCAGGGAUGGAGCUUUUCUUUGGGAGGGUGGGGGACAUUGCUUUCUGCUUCCUGGAGCCUAAUUGCCAUGGACUCAUCGGAUGUUUUAUUAAAACUUUACUACCUGAAA
RNAcentral lists this long non-coding RNA (485 nucleotides) under Columba livia (rock pigeon). Its description in RNAcentral is "partial uncharacterized LOC102084684". Lineage: Eukaryota; Metazoa; Chordata; Aves; Columbiformes; Columbidae. The record is from RNAcentral.